GACCGUGUGCCCGAGUGGUUCAGGGGCUCGUCUGCAAAGCGAGUGACGUCGGUUCGAAUCCGACCACGGUCUCC
Molecule: transfer RNA, 74 nt
Filed under: Streptomyces filamentosus
Lineage: Bacteria; Bacillati; Actinomycetota; Actinomycetes; Kitasatosporales; Streptomycetaceae
Also listed under: 3 other names
Description: tRNA-Cys
Rfam family: tRNA
About the family: Transfer RNA (tRNA) molecules are approximately 80 nucleotides in length. Their secondary structure includes four short double-helical elements and three loops (D, anti-codon, and T loops). Further hydrogen bonds mediate the characteristic L-shaped molecular structure. tRNAs have two regions of fundamental functional importance: the anti-codon, which is responsible for specific mRNA codon recognition, and the 3' end, to which the tRNAs corresponding amino acid is attached (by aminoacyl-tRNA synthetases). tRNAs cope with the degeneracy of the genetic code in two manners: having more than one tRNA (with a specific anti-codon) for a particular amino acid; and 'wobble' base-pairing, i.e. permitting non-standard base-pairing at the 3rd anti-codon position.
Source: RNAcentral